GAUGAACGCUGGCGGCGUGCUUAACACAUGCAAGUCGAACGGAGAAGCUCCAGCCUGCUGGAGCGGACCAGUGGCGAACGGGUGAGUAACACGCGAGCAACCCGCCCCUGACACUGGGAUAUGCGCUGGAAACGGCGGCGAAUACAGGAGACGAGAAGGGUCAGCACGGGCACCUUCUGGAAAGUACGGCGGUUGGGGCUUGGCUCGCGGCCUAUCAGCCGGUUGGUGAAGUAGUGGAGGACGAAGGCGACGACGGGUAGCCGGCCUUGGAGGCCGACCGGCGUCCCUGGGCCUACGGCACGGCGCAGUCUGCUACGGGCGGCAGCGGUGGGGAACCUUGCGCAGUGGGCGCGAGCCUGUUGCGGCGGCGCCGCGUUCGUGAUGCCGUCCUUCGGGUUGUGAACCUCUUUCAGCGGGGAUGAGGCGAACUUGACGGUACCUGCAGAAGAAGCACCGGCUAACUACGUG
Molecule: ribosomal RNA, 468 nt
Filed under: uncultured bacterium
Lineage: Bacteria
Description: partial 16S ribosomal RNA
Rfam family: Bacterial small subunit ribosomal RNA
Source: RNAcentral